GGACCCACAGCUGCUUGCAAAUUAAGGCUUGAAUCCCCCCGGAGGAACACAAAACAUAAGCUUGUUUGUGUCUGAAAGUUUGUAUUAUUUCAUAAGUAUGCAUAUGUGUCAGCAGAGUUUUCAAACAAACUUUUCACCACAGUGACAUUACAAGUUAGUCACAAUGAGCUGACAAACACAACGCGUUCGCCUGAGGAGGUGCCGUACCAGCUGUGCAUGAGCUGUACCUUCUACCAUGUGGUUCCUUCGGAAGUCCCCGACCCGCCAUGACAGGCAUAGGUGACCGUCACGUAAGCUGAUCACCGCACAGUUGCUGAAUCCAACCGUUUGGGCUCUCUUACGGGCAGAUGCCAUCUUGGCAACUGCAAUGCCGAUGACAAAAGUGUCAAUGAAGACACUGAUGACAUCUUGGAUGGUAACUACAAUGAUGGCAAUCAUACAGUUCUCUGACAUCCCCCGAAAGCCAUAACCAAUGGUGGUUUGGGUCUCUAAUGAGAAUAGAAAUGCUGCUGUAAAACUUCGAACCUCAUAAACACAUGGCUCUUUGUUGGGGUCUUUCAUAUCGCCGUGGGUCAAUGCAAUGAUCCAGAACAAAAUUCCAAAAAAGAGCCAUGAUAAAAUGUAGGAGAGAGCAAAUGUCAAGAACAUGACCCUCCAGUGGAUCUCUACCAGGGUAGUGAAGAUGUCAGUGAUCCAGAGAAGCCACUCCUCUGGAACGUUCCGCACAACCAUGUUACAGCUCCCAUCUUUUUUUACGUAUCUUUUCUUCUUAGAGUUAUAGUCGUCAUCUGUAAGCACACUAGGAUUUUCGUCACUGCACUUCACUCCAGAAUACUGUACUGUGUCUGAGUUCAUGCUGCCUCAGUCUAGAGAAGAGAGAAAUGCACAGAUUCAAAGAAUGAGUGGGCUCAGCCAGGAUAGCAAGUAGCUGUUGUCUGGGUUGAGUCCUGUGCUUUCUUCCAUUAACCAUUAAAGGAAGCAUCUCUGAACUGCAGCACCCUGAAAAGGUAAAUGAAAAGGGAAUGGAAGCUUCCUAUUGGGAGAACCUUUGGCAGUAGACAAUUUUUUUACGGCCAAACCACUAAGCAUCUUCUCCACUUAUUGCUACCCCCACCCAGCCAUACUGGGCAGCAGGUUCCACUAAGCUAACUGGCUGAACUGGUGUUCAUUUCCUCUGGACACAGAGCCAUGCAUGUUUUUGCCAGAUUAUGGAUUGAUAUUUCUGUAAUAAUGUGAAAUAGUCAAAGUAUCAUCCAAUUAUCUUUUCUCGUGAACUAUUGGAUACAAACAGAAAGAGGCCCUGUGGUUCUGUCUCCAAUAUUUGUGUGAAAAAAAAACGUGCAGAUUGCCUUAUGUUAAUGCAACUGCAGCUCUGAAAACUCAAUUUCCACAAAUUAAUUGCCAUUAUAGUUAUUGCUUCAGUCCUUAUACUGUAUGUGAAAUGUG
Carassius carassius (crucian carp) is the source of this 1446-nucleotide long non-coding RNA. RefSeq lists it as uncharacterized. Lineage: Eukaryota; Metazoa; Chordata; Actinopteri; Cypriniformes; Cyprinidae. The record is from RefSeq and is a predicted model, not a curated record. The transcript has 3 exons.